CAGUCGAACGGUAGCACAGAGAGCUUGCUCUCGGGUGACGAGUGGCGGAGGUGAGUAAUGUCUGGGAAACUGCCUGAUGGAGGGGGAUAACUACUGGAAACGGUAGCUAAUACCGCAUAACUCGCAAGACCAAAGAGGGGGACCUUCGGGCCUCUUGCCAUCAGAUGUGCCCAGAUGGGAUUAGCUAGUAGGUGGGGUAACGGCUCACCUAGGCGACGAUCCCUAGCUGGUCUGAGAGGAUGACCAGCCACACUGGAACUGAGACACGGUCCAGACUCCUACGGGAGGCAGCAGUGGGGAAUAUUGCACAAUGGGCGCAAGCCUGAUGCAGCCAUGCCGCGUGUAUGAAGAAGGCCUUCGGGUUGUAAAGUACUUUCAGCGGGGAGGAAGGUGUUGUGGUUAAUAACCACAGCAAUUGACGUUACCCGCAGAAGAAGCACCGGCUAACUCCGUGCCAGCAGCCGCGGUAAUACGGAGGGUGCAAGCGUUAAUCGGAAUUACUGGGCGUAAAGCGCACGCAGGCGGUCUGUCAAGUCGGAUGUGAAAUCCCCGGGCUCAACCUGGGAACUGCAUUCGAAACUGGCAGGCUGGAGUCUUGUAGAGGGGGGUAGAAUUCCAGGUGUAGCGGUGAAAUGCGUAGAGAUCUGGAGGAAUACCGGUGGCGAAGGCGGCCCCCUGGACAAAGACUGACGCUCAGGUGCGAAAGCGUGGGGAGCAAACAGGAUUAGAUACCCUGGUAGUCCACGCCGUAAACGAUGUCGAUUUGGAGGUUGUGCCCUUGAGGGUGGCUUCCGGAGCUAACGCGUUAAAUCGACCGCCUGGGGAGUACGGCCGCAAGGUUAAAACUCAAAUGAAUUGACGGGGGCCCGCACAAGCGGUGGAGCAUGUGGUUUAAUUCGAUGCAACGCGAAGAACCUUACCUGGUCUUGACAUCCCAGAACUUUCCAGAGAUGGAUUGGUGCCUUCGGGAACUGUGAGACAGGUGCUGCAUGGCUGUCGUCAGCUCGUGUUGUGAAAUGUUGGGUUAAGUCCCGCAACGAGCGCAACCCUUAUCCUUUGUUGCCAGCGGUUAGGCCGGGAACUCAAAGGAGACUGCCAGUGAUAAACUGGAGGAAGGUGGGGAUGACGUCAAGUCAUCAUGGCCCUUACGACCAGGGCUACACACGUGCUACAAUGGCGCAUACAAAGAGAAGCGACCUCGCGAGAGCAAGCGGACCUCAUAAAGUGCGUCGUAGUCCGGAUUGGAGUCUGCAACUCGACUCCAUGAAGUCGGAAUCGCUAGUAAUCGUAGAUCAGAAUGCUACGGUGAAUACGUUCCCGGGCCUUGUACACACCGCCCGUCACACCAUGGGAGUGGGUUGCAAAAGAAGUAGGUAGCUUAACCUUCGGGAGGGCGCUACCACUUUGGAUA
RNAcentral lists this ribosomal RNA (1411 nucleotides) under Klebsiella pneumoniae. RNAcentral's name for it is "bacterial SSU rRNA". It matches the Rfam family "Bacterial small subunit ribosomal RNA". Lineage: Bacteria; Pseudomonadati; Pseudomonadota; Gammaproteobacteria; Enterobacterales; Enterobacteriaceae. The record is from RNAcentral.